This 510-nucleotide ribosomal RNA is filed under the name uncultured bacterium. RNAcentral describes it as "partial 16S ribosomal RNA". It matches the Rfam family "Bacterial small subunit ribosomal RNA", at positions 28 to 507 of the family's 1533-position model. The record is from RNAcentral.
GACGAACGCUGGCGGCGUGCUUAACACAUGCAAGUCGAACGAAGAGCGAUGGAAGCUUGCUUCUAUCAAUCUUAGUGGCGAACGGGUGAGUAACGCGUAAUCAACCUGCCCUUCAGAGGGGGACAACAGUUGGAAACGACUGCUAAUACCGCAUACGAUCCAAUCUCGGCAUCGGGACUGGAUGAAAGGUGGCCUCUAUUUAUAAGCUAUCACUGAAGGAGGGGAUUGCGUCUGAUUAGCUAGUUGGAGGGGUAACGGCCCACCAAGGCGAUGAUCAGUAGGCCGGCCUGAAGGAAGGACCGCCAAAAUUGGAAUGGGGCAAGGGCCAGGACUCCAACGGAGGCAGCAGGGGGGGAACUUUCGCAAAUGAAGAAAGGCCGAAGGGGGCACCCCGGCGUGGGUGUGACGGGCCUCCGGUUGUAAAGCUCUGUUAAUCGGGACGAAUGGUUCUUGUGCGAAUAGUGCGAGGAUUUGACGGUACCGGAAUAGAAAGCCACGGCUAACUACGUG